Molecule: ribosomal RNA, 253 nt
Filed under: uncultured bacterium
Lineage: Bacteria
Description: partial 16S ribosomal RNA
Rfam family: Bacterial small subunit ribosomal RNA
Source: RNAcentral
UACGGGGGGGGCAAGCGUUGUUCGGAAUUACUGGGCGUAAAGGGCGCGUAGGCGGUUGGAUAAGUCAGCUGUGAAAACCACGGGCUUAACUCGUGGCCUGCAGUUGAGACUGUCUGGCUUGAGUGUGGGAGAGGAGAGUGGAAUUCCUGGUGUAGCGGUGAAAUGCGCAGAUAUCAGGAAGAACACCAAUGGCGAAGGCAGCUCUCUGGGACGGUACUGACGCUGAGGCGCGAAAGCGUGGGGAGCAAACAGG